This 432-nucleotide ribosomal RNA is filed under the name uncultured bacterium. RNAcentral describes it as "partial 16S ribosomal RNA". It matches the Rfam family "Bacterial small subunit ribosomal RNA", at positions 28 to 506 of the family's 1533-position model. The record is from RNAcentral.
GACGAACGCUGGCGGCAGGCCUAACACAUGCAAGUCGAGCGGACCUUUCGGGGUCAGCGGCGGACGGGUGAGUAACGCGUGGGAAUAUGCCCUUCUCUACGGAAUAGUCCUGGGAAACUGGGGGUAAUACCGUAUACGCCCUUUGGGGGAAAGAUUUAUCGGGGAAGGAUUAGCCCGCGUUGGAUUAGGUAGUUGGUGGGGUAAUGGCCUACCAAGCCGACGAUCCAUAGCUGGUUUGAGAGGAUGAUCAGCCACACUGGGACUGAGACACGGCCCAGACUCCUACGGGAGGCAGCAGUGGGGAAUCUGAGACAAUGGGGGCAACCCUGAUCUAGCCAUGCCGCGUGAGUGAUGAAGGCCUUAGGGUUGUAAAGCUCUUUCAGCUGGGAAGAUAAUGACGGUACCAGCAGAAGAAGCCCCGGCUAACUCCGU